Non-coding RNA from Podarcis lilfordi (Lilford's wall lizard), 71 nucleotides. Lineage: Eukaryota; Metazoa; Chordata; Lepidosauria; Squamata; Lacertidae. The record is from the annotation of a GenBank genome assembly.
GAACAUCUCUGAAUCGGUAAAGCGUGAGACUCUUAAUCUUAGGGUUGUGGGUUUGAGCCCCAUGUUGGGCA